Molecule: ribosomal RNA, 424 nt
Filed under: uncultured bacterium
Lineage: Bacteria
Description: bacterial SSU rRNA
Rfam family: Bacterial small subunit ribosomal RNA
Source: RNAcentral
UAGGGAAUAUUGGGCAAUGGAUGCAAGUCUGACCCAGCCAUGCCGCGUGGAGGAAGAAGGUCCUCUGGAUUGUAAACUCCUUUUGUCGGGGAAGAAGAGACACCUUGCGAGGUGUUGUGACGGUACCCGGUGAAUAAGCCACGGCUAACUACGUGCCAGCAGCCGCGGUAAUACGUAGGUGGCAAGCGUUGUCCGGAUUUAUUGGGUUUAAAGGGUGCGUAGGUGGUUUGAUAAGUCAGUGGUGAAAGCUGGUUGCUCAACAAUCAAGUUGCCAUUGAUACUGUCGGACUUGAGAGAAGUGGAGGUUCAUGGAAUGGAUGGUGUAGCGGUGAAAUGCAUAGAUAUCAUCCAGAACGUCGAUUGCGAAGGCAGUGGGCUGUACUUUUUCUGACACUGAGGCACGAAAGCGUGGGGAUCAAACAGG